This 433-nucleotide ribosomal RNA is filed under the name uncultured bacterium. Its description in RNAcentral is "partial 16S ribosomal RNA". It matches the Rfam family "Bacterial small subunit ribosomal RNA", at positions 29 to 507 of the family's 1533-position model. The record is from RNAcentral.
AACGAACGCUGGCGGCAUGCCUAACACAUGCAAGUCGAACGAGACCUUCGGGUCUAGUGGCGCACGGGUACGUAACGCGUGGGAACCUGCCCUUAGGUUCGGAAUAACUCCCCGAAAGGGGUGCUAAUACCGGAUAAUGUCUUCGGACCAAAGAUUUAUCGCCUUUGGAUGGGCCCGCGUUGGAUUAGCUAGUUGGUAGUGUAAAAGCCUACCAAGGCUACGAUCCAUAGCUGGUCUGAGAGGAUGAUCAGCCACACUGGGACUGAGACACGGCCCAGAAUCCUACGGGAGGCAGCAGUGGGGAAUAUUGGACAAUGGGCGAAAGCAUGAUCCAGCAAUGCCGGGUGAGUGAUGAAGGCCUUAGGGUUGUAAAGCUCUUUUACCCGGGAUGAUAAUGACAGUACCGGGAGAAUAAGCACCGGCUAACUCCGUG